Molecule: ribosomal RNA, 253 nt
Filed under: uncultured bacterium
Lineage: Bacteria
Description: partial 16S ribosomal RNA
Rfam family: Bacterial small subunit ribosomal RNA
Source: RNAcentral
GACGAACCGAGCGAACGUUGUUCGGAAUCACUGGGCUUAAAGGGCGCGUAGGCGGGUGCUCAAGUCUGUGGUGAAAUCCUCCAGCUCAACUGGAGAACUGCCAUGGAUGCUGGGUGCCUCGAGGGUGGUAGGGGUAUGCGGAACUAUCGGUGGAGCGGUGAAAUGCGUUGAUAUCAGGAGGAACACCGAUGGCGAAGGCAGUGUUCUGGGCCAGUACUGACGCUGAGGAGCGAAAGCGUGGGGAGCAAACAGG